UGGAUCCUCAGUGAAAUGUCACAAUGCAGCGUGGAUCCUCAGUGAAAUGCAAGCUGAUGCAGAGACAGGAAUUUUUGUGGGCCAUCCCCAGCUGAGGGCCCCACAGAAUCAUCAACACCUUUCCACCUCACCAAUGAAGAUGCAGGGAAGUCCCAAAGACAUUUUAUGGCCGCAGAAGCAAACAGCACAGAAUGUGGUCGACAUGUUUAGCUAAGCGAUAGAUCUACAGUUUCAGAAGCUGAGGCCCUUGCGCUGCGGGACGGAUUUCAUGCUCCGGAUCGU
Long non-coding RNA from Larimichthys crocea (large yellow croaker), 282 nucleotides. RefSeq lists it as uncharacterized. The record is from RefSeq and is a predicted model, not a curated record. Lineage: Eukaryota; Metazoa; Chordata; Actinopteri; Sciaenidae. The transcript has 4 exons.